Molecule: long non-coding RNA, 306 nt
Filed under: Sorghum bicolor (sorghum)
Lineage: Eukaryota; Viridiplantae; Streptophyta; Magnoliopsida; Poales; Poaceae
Description: long non-coding RNA (SBIC_LNC002245)
Source: RNAcentral
ACGUCGAUGGGCUCGUCCGAGAGCUUGCCGGCGGUGCAUCAGGAAGCGCCGCCGCCGCCACCGUGAGGCGCCUCGCGUGCGUGUGCGCUUGUGGCGAGCAAAGGGCGCCAUGGCGGUCCUGCUAGACAGUGCCGCGUGCAGCAUCAGCUAUGCGCGUGCGCCGUUGAGGGGUGCCGCGAUGGCGUCACCAUCUCCUACGUCGCUUGCUCGGGCCGUCGUCGCGGCCGGUCUCCUACCUGUGUGGCAGCUGCGUGAGCGUGGAAGGCGGAGGAGAGAGAAAAGUGAAGCUAGGGUUUUGGGAAGCCA